RNAcentral lists this transfer RNA (81 nucleotides) under Triticum aestivum (bread wheat). It matches the Rfam family "tRNA". Rfam says of the family: Transfer RNA (tRNA) molecules are approximately 80 nucleotides in length. Their secondary structure includes four short double-helical elements and three loops (D, anti-codon, and T loops). The record is from Rfam by way of RNAcentral. Lineage: Eukaryota; Viridiplantae; Streptophyta; Magnoliopsida; Poales; Poaceae.
GCCCCGAUGGUGAAAUGGUAGACACGCGAGACUCAAAAUCUCAUGAUGAAGAGCGUGGACGUUCGAGUCCUCUUCAAGGCA